UACGAAGGGGGCUAGCGUUGUUCGGAAUUACUGGGCGUAAAGCGCACGCAGGCGGCUCGUUAAAUUAGAAGUGAAAGCCCCGGGCUUAACCUGGGAAUUGCUUUUAAGACUGGCGAGCUAGAAUCCAGAAGAGGGUAGUGGAAUUCCGAGUGUAGUGGUGAAAUUCGUAGAUAUUCGGAAGAACGCCAGUGGCGAAGGCGACUACCUGGUCUGGCAUUGACGCUCAUGCGCGAAAGCGUGGGGAG
This 245-nucleotide ribosomal RNA is filed under the name uncultured Magnetospirillum sp. Its description in RNAcentral is "partial 16S ribosomal RNA". It matches the Rfam family "Bacterial small subunit ribosomal RNA", at positions 524 to 768 of the family's 1533-position model. Lineage: Bacteria; Pseudomonadati; Pseudomonadota; Alphaproteobacteria; Rhodospirillales; Rhodospirillaceae. The record is from RNAcentral.